This is an RNA transcript of Argentina anserina (silverweed cinquefoil), 2576 nucleotides long. RefSeq lists it as uncharacterized. The transcript is spliced from 5 exons. NCBI's taxonomy places the organism in Eukaryota, Viridiplantae, Streptophyta, Magnoliopsida, Rosales, Rosaceae. The record is from RefSeq and is a predicted model, not a curated record.
GUCAAUCGCCAGUUUUUCCAUUUCUAAAAAACCCUUGUAUUGUACUCUCUCCCUUCCUUGCACAAACCGAGAUCACCGCUGAUCUCCUCACUCUCUCCGAUGGCUUCUGUAACAGCCUCCGAUUUCAGCGGCGGCGAAGAAGAAACCGAGGACCACACCCCGACCAUACCGGAGCUGGUCUCGUCGCUGCGGGACUCUUUCCAGACGGCCGACUUCGACAGAGCCGAAGAGGCCCUCAUCGCCAGAGAAGCCAACCUGAAGCGGCGGUUUCAGAGAGAAGCCGCCGAGCUCACCGCCUUGAAGAAGCUCAAGGAGGAGGAGGAGGUCCCGGACGAGGGCAAAGAGGUCAUUUGGGAGUUGAAGAAGGAGAAGCGUCGAUUGGAGAGGGAGCAAUUGAGUGCUGAGCGCGAGGUUGAGAGUAUGGAGAGCCGAGUGUUGAGCUUAGAGGAUGAUGUUCUGAGAUUGUGCGGUGAAAAUUCGGGGGGUUUCAGUGUGAGAGAGGAUCAUAGAUACAGUGGCAGUGUUGUAAAUAUGGAGACUGUGUUUGAUGCUUUGAUUGCGUCUCAUGCUAAUGGAACUCUGCAAAUUCCAGCAAGGGAAGCUAAGCUUGACCGAGUGAUACAGAAACAGAUGGAGGAGUUUGCUGCACGUGAGAAGACGCAUAUGUUUGAGGUGCAGAAAUUGCAAAGACUUGAGAAUGAGUAUGCAGCGCUUCAGAAAAAGCACCAAUGUCAGAUGAAGGAAAAGGACAGUGUUGAGAAUGAACUGAAGGGUUGCCGCGAGGAGAUCGAGCGGUUGAAAGGGGAGCUAAAUGUAAUGGAGGAAAAACAUAGGGUUGAGUCUGACGAGAUUAAGCAAAAAGAACAAUCUAGCCGUCUGGAAGCGCUCAAAGUUGAGGAUGGGUGUGCAGCACUUCAGAAAAAACACCAAAGUCAGCUGGAGGAACAAGUCAAGGUUGAGAAUGAGCUGAAGCAUUGCUGGCUGGAGAUCAACCGGUUGAAAGGAAAUGUAAAUAUUAUGGAGGAAAAGCACAAGAAUGAGUGUGAAGAGAUUGAGAAGAAACAUCAAUCUAAACUUCUGGAAAUGCUCAAAGUUAAGAAUGAGAUUAAGCGGUUGAAAGAAGAAGGAAAGGUUCUGGAGGAAAAAUAUAAGAACGAGUACAGGGAACUUGAGCAAACAAACGAAUCUUAUUAUCAGGAAAGGCUCAAGGCUGAGAUUGAGCUCAAGGUGUGCAAGUCUGAACUUGAUGAGUUGAAGGAAGAGAGAAAGGUCCUUAAGCAAAAACACCAAUGUCACCUUCUGGAAGUUGAGAAUGAGUUAAAGCACUGCAAGACCGAGCUUGUGACAUUAAAGGAGGAGCUAAAUAUCUCAAAUGAGAAAUGUGAGAAGCUUCUGGAGGAGGUGAUUAAGCAUGGGAAAGAUAAGGAUGAAGUGGUCAGUUCCCGAAAUGACAAGGAGGUGAAGAAUGAGCCUAUGUAUGUGAAAUUGGAGAAUGAAAUCAUGCGGUUAGAUAAGUUCAUAAAUGCAAAUCAUCUUGGAUCAAAAUACAUGGAUAAGAGAAGCAAAAAUAAUGGAAUGACAGAUGGUACUAGAAUAAAGAAGUGUAUCCAAGACCCCAAGCAUGUCAUAAAUGUGGAGGAUUUGUAUGAUUAUGUGCCAGCAAAUGCUUCCCCUAGAGGAUUUGGUGUUGGGAAUUCAGGUGCUCCUAAAUCUUCAUAUGAAGGUGUCAUUCUUCUCAGUGAUAGCGAAGAUGACUGUGCUCCUGGGGAACCAGAUUAUCUUGGACUCAAAAGAAAACGAGCUUCAUGGCCAAAUGCUAGUGAUAAUAACAAUGCUGGUCACAAUUUUGAACAAGAGAGUUCCCCAACUUCCGCAAAUAAGAAACAUAGGAUGCUGCAUCCCUGUGGCUCUCUGGUUUCUAACAAUGGGAAACAAUUUAAUCAAUCAAGUUGUGACCGAGAGAUCUUAAGACCAUCUGGAGAAAAAGUUAAGGAAGAGGUUGCCAGUUCUGUGAAGAAUUACGAUUCUGAAUCAAGUUCUUUAAGUUUGUUCAGUUCUGAUGGUUCUGAGGAUAAUGGUGACAUUAAUUCCAUGAUGCUAUAAACAAACAGAGCAUAAGAGGGAAGCCUUUGCCGGUACCAUGGAUUUUUAAGCUGCUAAAUCGAACUGAAGGAAACAGUUGGUGUAUAAGCAUAAAACUUGCAUAUAUGGCUUCAUGGGAACUGCUUUGUUUAGAGCUCGGGGACCAAGGACACAGGGGAAAAGAUCUGUCAGUGGGUUGUAGCUUGAUGCAUGCCCUUUUGAAGAUGUUCUAAAGACCAGAUCCUGCUUUGCAAGUUCUCACAAUGAAAUACAAGCGUGCUGCUAUGCAAAACAAGUUUUGACCAUGGAGUAUAACGGGUAAUGAUAUUUUUGAAAUUUGCAAAGGCUGCAUUUUCCGAAGUCUGAACUGCUUGCAGAGUUUGUGAAUAGUUGAAUGUUUGACUGAUUCCUCCUAACUAAGCUAGUACAUUAAUAUGUCAACUGAUUCAACUGGUCAAAUUACUUCGUGGGAUGAAAGAUCAUGUUAUCCUUUG